AGAGGUCACAAAUUCAAGGCCAAAGCAGAAGUGUUCACGGUGCAGCCCUAUCAGGUUCCAAACAAAUCUGUUAAUUCUGCU
This 81-nucleotide ribozyme is filed under the name Crocodylus porosus (Australian saltwater crocodile). RNAcentral describes it as "Mammalian CPEB3 ribozyme (ENSCPRG00005012535.1)". It matches the Rfam family "Mammalian CPEB3 ribozyme". From Rfam's summary of the family: The mammalian CPEB3 ribozyme is a self cleaving RNA located in the second intron of the CPEB3 gene which belongs to a family of genes regulating messenger RNA polyadenylation. This ribozyme is highly conserved and found only in mammals. Lineage: Eukaryota; Metazoa; Chordata; Crocodylia; Crocodylidae. The record is from Rfam by way of RNAcentral.